GAUCAAAUCAAGCGCGAGAAGGGCGUUUGGUGGAUGCCUUGGCAGCAAGAGGCGAUGAAGGACGUGAUACUCUGCGAUAAGCCAGGGGGAGCCGAGAAUAGGCUUUGAUCCCUGGAUCUCCGAAUGGGGCAACCCACCUGAUAUUCAGUUAUUAUCAGCCGUCAGGUUUUUGAUAAUUGGGUAAACCAGGUACUUCUUACCUGAAUACAUAGGGUUUGAAGAGCAAACCCGGGGAACUGAAACAUCUAAGUACCCGGAGGAAAGGAAAUCAAUGAUACUCCCCUAGUAGCGGCGAGCGAACGGGGACCAGCCGAGCCUUGAGAGUGAUCGGAACAUGCUGGAAAGCAUGGCCAUAGCGGGUGACAGCCCCGUACGAGAAGCUCGAUGGGACGUAUUAAGUAGGGCGGGACACGUGAAAUCCUGUCUGAAGAUCGGAGGACCACCUUCGAAGGCUAAGUACUCCUUGCUGACCGAUAGCGAACCAGUACCGUGAGGGAAAGGUGAAAAGCACCCCGACGAGGGGAGUGAAACAGUACCUGAAACCGAACGCCUACAAUCAGUCGGAGCUCCAGUGACGGCGUACCUUUUGUAUAAUGGGUCAUCGACUUGGUCUAUCUAGCAAGCUUAAGCCGAUAGGUGUAGGCGCAGCGAAAGCGAGUCUUAAUAGGGCGUCGAGUUAGAUGGAUCAGACCCGAAACCGAGUGAUCUAGGCAUGACCAGGAUGAAGGUAAGGUAACACUUACUGGAGGUCCGAACCCACACCUGUUGAAAAAGGUCGGGAUGAGUUGUGCCUAGGGGUGAAAGGCCAAUCAAACUCGGAGAUAGCUGGUUCUCCGCGAAAUCUAUUUAGGUAGAGCGUCAUCCGAAUACCCCGGGGGGUAGAGCACUGGAUGGGUAAUGGGGCCCCACAGGCUUACUGAUCCUAACCAAACUCCGAAUACCCGGGAGUACUAGAUGGCAGACACACUGCGGAUGCUAACGUCCGUAGUGGAGAGGGAAACAACCCUGACCUACAGCUAAGGCCCCCAAUUCAUGGCUAAGUGGGAAAGCAGGUGGGACGACCAAAACAACCAGGAGGUUGGCUUAGAAGCAGCCAUCCUUUAAAGAUAGCGUAACAGCUCACUGGUCUAAACAAGUUGUCCUGCGGCGAAGAUGUAACGGGGCUCAAGCCAUGAGCCGAAGCUUAGGAUGCCGUAAGGCAUGGUAGCGGAGCGUAGUGUGAUAUAGGACUUAUCCUUUACUGCCGCCGGUCGUACGGAGCGUGGAAACGCGCUCAAGUAGCCGAUAGGCGGUAGCGCAGGAGAAAGUCUUUUCUGUGAAGCCGGCCUGUGAGGGAUCCGGUGGAGAGAUCACUAGCGAGAAUGAUGACAUGAGUAGCGACAAAGAGUGUGAGAGACACUCUCGCCGAAAGUCCAAGGGUUCCUGCUUAAAGCUAAUCUGAGCAGGGUAAGCCGACCCCUAAGGCGAGGCCGAAAGGCGUAGUCGAUGGGAACCAGGUUAAUAUUCCUGGGCCAGGAGGAUGUGACGGAUUGUGGCGGCGUGCGUGCCUUAUCGGAUUGGCGCGUAUCCAAGACAGUCCCAGGAAAUAGCCCUCCAUGAGAUCGUACCCUAAACCGACACAGGUGGACUGGUAGAGAAUACCAAGGCGCUUGAGAGAACGAUGUUGAAGGAACUCGGCAAAAUACCUCCGUAAGUUCGCGAGAAGGAGGCCCGGUACACGACUACCGGGGGCACAAACCAGGGGGUGGCGACUGUUUAUUAAAAACACAGGGCUCUGCGAAGUCGCAAGACGACGUAUAGGGUCUGACGCCUGCCCGGUGCCUGAAGGUUAAAAGGAGGGGUGCAAGCUCCGAAUUGAAGCCCAGGUAAACGGCGGCCGUAACUAUAACGGUCCUAAGGUAGCGAAAUUCCUUGUCGGGUAAGUUCCGACCUGCACGAAUGGCGUAACGACUUCCCCGCUGUCUCCAACAUCGACUCAGCGAAAUUGAAUUGCCUGUCAAGAUGCAGGCUUCCCGCGGUUAGACGGAAAGACCCCGUGCACCUUCACUACAGCUUCGCACUGGCAUCAGGCACAACAUGUGCAGGAUAGGUGGUAGGCUUUGAAGCAGGGACGCCAGUCCCUGUGGAGCCUCCCUUGAGAUACCACCCUUGUUCUGCUUGAUGUCUAACCGCGGCCCGUUAUCCGGGUCCGGGACCCUGCGUGGUGGGUAGUUUGACUGGGGCGGUCGCCUCCUAAAGCGUAACGGAGGCGCGCGAAGGUUGGCUCAGAGCGGUCGGAAAUCGCUCGUUGAGUGCAAUGGCAGAAGCCAGCCUGACUGCAAGACUGACAAGUCGAGCAGAGUCGAAAGACGGCCAUAGUGAUCCGGUGGUCCCAAGUGGGAGGGCCAUCGCUCAACGGAUAAAAGGUACGCCGGGGAUAACAGGCUGAUACUGCCCAAGAGUCCAUAUCGACGGCAGUGUUUGGCACCUCGAUGUCGGCUCAUCUCAUCCUGGGGCUGGAGCAGGUCCCAAGGGUAUGGCUGUUCGCCAUUUAAAGAGGUACGUGAGCUGGGUUUAGAACGUCGUGAGACAGUUCGGUCCCUAUCUGCCGUGGGUGUAGGAUACUUGAGAGGAGUUGCCCCUAGUACGAGAGGACCGGGGUGAACGAUCCACUGGUGGACCUGUUGUUGCGCCAGCAGCAGUGCAGGGUAGCUAUGAUCGGACAGGAUAACCGCUGAAGGCAUCUAAGCGGGAAGCCCCCCUCAAAACAAGGUAUCCCUGAGGACCGUGGAAGACCACCACGUCGAUAGGCCGGAGAUGUAAGCACAGCAAUGUGUUCAGUUGACCGGUACUAAUGGUCCGAUAGGCUUGAUUUGAUCCAG
Molecule: ribosomal RNA, 2861 nt
Filed under: Antarctobacter albus
Lineage: Bacteria; Pseudomonadati; Pseudomonadota; Alphaproteobacteria; Rhodobacterales; Roseobacteraceae
Description: Mameliella alba 23S ribosomal RNA
Rfam family: Bacterial large subunit ribosomal RNA
Source: RNAcentral